This is a non-coding RNA of Pelobates cultripes (western spadefoot toad), 213 nucleotides long. Lineage: Eukaryota; Metazoa; Chordata; Amphibia; Anura; Pelobatidae. The record is from the annotation of a GenBank genome assembly.
CAGGAAAACACAUCGGUAAAAACCCCUCCAGUAGCUCACCGAAUUCCAGCACCAGGCCCCCUUACCUCUCCUCCCCUGCCGACGUCAGCAUCCUCGUCCGACGUCACAGGAGCCGAAAGCGCAUGCGCGACAUUCAAAGUGUCCGUAAGAAAGCAUUUGUCAAUGCUUUCCUAUGGACGCUCUGCGUGAUUGAGGCAUAAUAUAGAGGCUGGC